RNAcentral lists this ribosomal RNA (200 nucleotides) under uncultured bacterium. RNAcentral's name for it is "partial 16S ribosomal RNA". It matches the Rfam family "Bacterial small subunit ribosomal RNA", at positions 328 to 539 of the family's 1533-position model. The record is from RNAcentral.
ACGCUCGACACCUACAGGAGGCAGCAGUUGGGAAUAUUGGACAAUGGAGGAAACUCUGAUCCAGUGACGCCGCGUGAAGGAAGAAGGUCUUCGGAUUGUAAACUUAUUUUGUCAGGGAAGAAAAAAUGACUGUACCUGAAGAAAAAGCACCGGCUAACUACGUGCCAGCAGCCACGGUAAUCUGAGCGGGCUGGCAAGGC